AUACGGAGGGUGCAAGCGUUGUCCGGAAUUAUUGGGCGUAAAGCGUUCGUAGGCGGCAUGUCAAGUCUGAUGUUAAAGCCCGGAGCUCAACUCCGGUUCAGCAUUGGAUACUGGCAAGCUAGAGUACAGGAGAGGCAAGGGGAAUUCCCAGUGUAGCGGUGAAAUGCGUAGAUAUUGGGAGGAACACCAGUUGCGUAAGCGCCUUGCUGGACUGAAACUGACGCUGAGGAACGAAAGCCAGGGGAGCAAAUGGGAUUAGAUACCCCAGUAGUCCUGGCCGUAAACGAUGGAUACUAGGUGUUGCGGGUAUCGACCCCUGCAGUGCUGCAGCUAACGCAAUAAGUAUCCCGCCUGGGGAGUACGCACGCAAGUGUGAA
RNAcentral lists this ribosomal RNA (377 nucleotides) under uncultured bacterium. RNAcentral's name for it is "bacterial SSU rRNA". It matches the Rfam family "Bacterial small subunit ribosomal RNA", at positions 523 to 898 of the family's 1533-position model. The record is from RNAcentral.